Helianthus annuus (common sunflower) is the source of this 655-nucleotide long non-coding RNA. RefSeq lists it as uncharacterized. The transcript is spliced from 3 exons. The record is from RefSeq and is a predicted model, not a curated record. Lineage: Eukaryota; Viridiplantae; Streptophyta; Magnoliopsida; Asterales; Asteraceae.
UAGUAGGCAUUAACCAUUACCUUGGUCUUAGUUUUCCCCCAAAAUCAGUUUCCCAAUUUCAAAUUAGGUUUCACCAAAAUCAGUUUUCCUCCCCAAUCGUUUGAUAUUCUCGCUCCUUCCUAAUCUUCAAUCAAUUUUGUUCCCCAAAUUGCGAUAACUGUUCUCUUCCCCUCUGUCUGAUUUUCGUAGCAGCAACAAGUCACCACUACUGUUCAAGUCGUACCUUCCUGUUAGGUUUAACCCGUCACUCAGGUCUACAUAAGGAAAUGGAAAAGAAUGUUCAGUAGAAACAUGACAGAAAAAAUCUUGCAAAUACUGAAGAACUACCAGGUUGCGCCUUGUUGCUGCCGCUGCUCAAGUAACAGUUGCAAACCCACCCAGUAUGGGUUUGUACCUGCUUGUUGAUCCGAACUUACCAUUGAGGUCGUGCCUUGUUGCUGCUGCUGAUUAUGCUUUGAUGUGGAUAGCGCUGUGUGUGGAUGACAACAUUGCUAGAAAAGUUGUUGAGUGGACCACAAGGUGUCGGUAUUAAGAUGGUUUUCUGCUUUUAGUUUAUUUUUCUAUUAAAUUAAUUAUUCAAGUAGUGCAGAGCAAUGGGUGGUGUUUUUGUUAUGAACAUGCUUAUUUGAAAUAUAAUGAAGUUUUAUUUCUUUUA